This 468-nucleotide ribosomal RNA is filed under the name uncultured bacterium. Its description in RNAcentral is "partial 16S ribosomal RNA". It matches the Rfam family "Bacterial small subunit ribosomal RNA", at positions 28 to 507 of the family's 1533-position model. The record is from RNAcentral.
GACGAACGCUGGCGGCGUGCUUAACACAUGCAAGUCGAACGGAAAGGCCCUGCUUUUGUGGGGUGCUCGAGUGGCGAACGGGUGAGUAACACGUGAGUAACCUGCCCUUGACUUUGGGAUAACUUCAGGAAACUGGGGCUAAUACCGGAUAGGAGCUCCUGCUGCAUGGUGGGGGUUGGAAAGUUUCGGCGGUUGGGGAUGGACUCGCGGCUUAUCAGCUUGUUGGUGGGGUAGUGGCUUACCAAGGCUUUGACGGGUAGCCGGCCUGGGAGGGUGACCGGCCACAUUGGGACUGAGAUACGGCCCAGACUCCUACGGGAGGCAGCAGUGGGGAAUAUUGCACAAUGGGCGGAAGCCUGAUGCAGCAACGCCGCGUGCGGGAUGACGGCCUUCGGGUUGUAAACCGCUUUCGCCUGUGACGAAGCGUGAGUGACGGUAAUGGGUAAAGAAGCACCGGCUAACUCCGUG